Molecule: ribosomal RNA, 376 nt
Filed under: uncultured bacterium
Lineage: Bacteria
Description: bacterial SSU rRNA
Rfam family: Bacterial small subunit ribosomal RNA
Source: RNAcentral
AUACGUAGGGAGCGAGCGUUGUCCGGAUUUACUGGGUGUAAAGGGUGCGUAGGCGGCGAGAUAAGUCAGCUGUGAAAACUAUGGGCUCAACCCAUAGCCUGCAGUUGAAACUGUUUCGCUUGAGUGAAGUAGAGGUAGGCGGAAUUCCCGGUGUAGCGGUGAAAUGCGUAGAGAUCGGGAGGAACACCAGUGGCGAAGGCGGCCUACUGGGCUUUAACUGACGCUGAAGCACGAAAGCAUGGGUAGCAAACAGGAUUAGAUACCCUGGUAGUCCAUGCUGUAAACGAUGAUUACUAGGUGUGGGGGGUCUGACCCCUUCCGUGCCGGAGUUAACACAAUAAGUAAUCCACCUGGGGAGUACGACCGCAAGGUUGAA